GCUAGCGUAGCUUAAAAUAAAGCAUAGCACUGAAGAUGCUAAGAAGGACCAUAAAAGGCCCGCAUGCA
This 68-nucleotide transfer RNA is filed under the name Dawkinsia chalakkudiensis (chalak barb). Its description in RNAcentral is "tRNA-Phe". It matches the Rfam family "tRNA". From Rfam's summary of the family: Transfer RNA (tRNA) molecules are approximately 80 nucleotides in length. Their secondary structure includes four short double-helical elements and three loops (D, anti-codon, and T loops). Further hydrogen bonds mediate the characteristic L-shaped molecular structure. tRNAs have two regions of fundamental functional importance: the anti-codon, which is responsible for specific mRNA codon recognition, and the 3' end, to which the tRNAs corresponding amino acid is attached (by aminoacyl-tRNA synthetases). tRNAs cope with the degeneracy of the genetic code in two manners: having more than one tRNA (with a specific anti-codon) for a particular amino acid; and 'wobble' base-pairing, i.e. permitting non-standard base-pairing at the 3rd anti-codon position. Lineage: Eukaryota; Metazoa; Chordata; Actinopteri; Cypriniformes; Cyprinidae. The record is from RNAcentral.